Long non-coding RNA from Oreochromis aureus, 577 nucleotides. NCBI's taxonomy places the organism in Eukaryota, Metazoa, Chordata, Actinopteri, Cichliformes, Cichlidae. The record is from Ensembl.
GUUAAAAGCACUUUAUGUUUUGUAGAUGUAUUUUUUCAGACAGGGCACACAGUUCUGUUUCCUUUGUGGGAAAACCUUCGAACUUCACCAUCCUCAGCUGAAACAACAACAUCUUAACACCAUCUUCAUGAACUGCUGAGCCAAACCUGAUCCAUCAGUGCUGGACUGCACAGAUAACUACACGCCACAAGGAGACUGCUGUGUUAUGAACUGCCAUAUCAGUGUGUCUUUAAUGGAGAAGAUGACACACCCAUCACCUGACCUCCUGCCUGAUCUGGAGACCAUCACCAUGCUGCCACACUACACACCUCUGAGACGAUCAAUGAUGACUGAUACUGAGGAAACUGUAUUUCCUGUCAGAGAUGCUCAGUGAUCGUCAGAGCAGAGAGAGGUACUGCUGUCUUCUGAGUCCUCAGUGUCCCAACUGAAACAUUCAAACCUCAUUACAGAGCUCAUGUCUUUCCUCACCAUCAUGUGAGUGUGAGAUUGCUCUGGAUUCUGGUUAUGUGGCCUGCAGCACCUAUAAGAACAAGCUCGUCCUGUGUGCCUGCAUUCCAGCUUCUUAGACUCUACGCAA